GGGAAGUUGGCUCAGUGGUAGAGUGCUUGCCUUGCAUGCAUGAGGCCCGGAGUUCUACUCCUCA
This 64-nucleotide transfer RNA is filed under the name Dipodomys ordii (Ord's kangaroo rat). It matches the Rfam family "tRNA". Rfam says of the family: Transfer RNA (tRNA) molecules are approximately 80 nucleotides in length. Lineage: Eukaryota; Metazoa; Chordata; Mammalia; Rodentia; Heteromyidae. The record is from Rfam by way of RNAcentral.